Molecule: ribosomal RNA, 689 nt
Filed under: Pseudomonas sp.
Lineage: Bacteria; Pseudomonadati; Pseudomonadota; Gammaproteobacteria; Pseudomonadales; Pseudomonadaceae
Description: bacterial SSU rRNA
Rfam family: Bacterial small subunit ribosomal RNA
Source: RNAcentral
AGACAGGGCGCGGCUACACAUGCAGUCGAGCGGUAGAGAGAAGCUUGCUUCUCUUGAGAGCGGCGGACGGGUGAGUAAUACCUAGGAAUCUGCCUGAUAGUGGGGGAUAACGUUCGGAAACGGACGCUAAUACCGCAUACGUCCUACGGGAGAAAGCAGGGGACCUUCGGGCCUUGCGCUAUCAGAUGAGCCUAGGUCGGAUUAGCUAGUUGGUGAGGUAAUGGCUCACCAAGGCUACGAUCCGUAACUGGUCUGAGAGGAUGAUCAGUCACACUGGAACUGAGACACGGUCCAGACUCCUACGGGAGGCAGCAGUGGGGAAUAUUGGACAAUGGGCGAAAGCCUGAUCCAGCCAUGCCGCGUGUGUGAAGAAGGUCUUCGGAUUGUAAAGCACUUUAAGUUGGGAGGAAGGGCAUUAACCUAAUACGUUAGUGUUUUGACGUUACCGACAGAAUAAGCACCGGCUAACUCUGUGCCAGCAGCCGCGGUAAUACAGAGGGUGCAAGCGUUAAUCGGAAUUACUGGGCGUAAAGCGCGCGUAGGUGGUUUGUUAAGUUGAAUGUGAAAUCCCCGGGCUCAACCUGGGAACUGCAUCCAAAACUGGCAAGCUAGAGUAUGGUAGAGGGUAGUGGAAUUUCCUGUGUAGCGGUGAAAUGCGUAGAUAUAGGAAGGAACACCAGGUGGCGAAA